RNAcentral lists this ribosomal RNA (573 nucleotides) under uncultured Bacteroidota bacterium. RNAcentral's name for it is "bacterial SSU rRNA". It matches the Rfam family "Bacterial small subunit ribosomal RNA", at positions 224 to 794 of the family's 1533-position model. Lineage: Bacteria; Pseudomonadati; Bacteroidota. The record is from RNAcentral.
GAUGAGCAUGCGUCCCAUUAGCUAGUUGGUAAGGUAACGGCUUACCAAGGCAACGAUGGGUAGGGGUCCUGAGAGGGAGAUCCCCCACACUGGUACUGAGACACGGACCAGACUCCUACGGGAGGCAGCAGUGAGGAAUAUUGGUCAAUGGGCGCAAGCCUGAACCAGCUAUGCCGCGUGCAGGAUGAAGCAUCUAUGGUGUGUAAACUGCUUUUGUACGAGAAGAAACACUCCUUCGUGAAGGAGCUUGACGGUAUCGUAAGAAUAAGGACCGGCUAACUCCGUGCCAGCAGCCGCGGUAAUACGGAGGGUCCAAGCGUUAUCCGGAAUCAUUGGGUUUAAAGGGUCCGUAGGCGGUUUUGUAAGUCAGUGGUGAAAGCCCAUCGCUCAACGGUGGAACGGCCAUUGAUACUGCAAGACUUGAAUUAUUAGGAAGUAACUAGAAUAUGUAGUGUAGCGGUGAAAUGCUUAGAGAUUACAUGGAAUACCAAUUGCGAAGGCAGGUUACUACUAAUGGAUUGACGCUGAUGGACGAAAGCGUGGGGAGCGAACAGGAUUAGAUACCCUGGUAGU